GUGUACACAAGAUAGAGCUCACAUCAAGUUUUCUUAAACUUUACAAUUAAAUCCACCUUCAAAAGAUAUUUCAUAAACUUUGUUUGUAUUAUUCUAAUAAAUGUAACCCACCUCUAUCUUUCCCAUAAGCUGCACCUUUACUUGAAGUCUAUGAUUUUUUCAUGAUAGAAAGUUUUCUAAAGAAACUGACUGACAACAGCGGUAUACAAACUGAUUACUAGAAAAAGUAAAGUUUUCGUGGACCAUCGUUUAUAGGGCAGGUUCCUCUAAAUGGCUAUCUUGCCGCCAAAUCCGUUAAAUUUCAUUAAUACUACUAUUCCAAAAUUUAUUAUUUAUGAGUA
Molecule: ribosomal RNA, 341 nt
Filed under: Galkinius sp. 2 MM-2014
Lineage: Eukaryota; Metazoa; Arthropoda; Thecostraca; Balanomorpha; Pyrgomatidae
Description: partial 12S ribosomal RNA
Source: RNAcentral